This 362-nucleotide ribosomal RNA is filed under the name Ehrlichia canis. Its description in RNAcentral is "bacterial SSU rRNA". It matches the Rfam family "Bacterial small subunit ribosomal RNA", at positions 59 to 436 of the family's 1533-position model. The record is from RNAcentral. Lineage: Bacteria; Pseudomonadati; Pseudomonadota; Alphaproteobacteria; Rickettsiales; Anaplasmataceae.
CGGUCCAAUUAUUUNAAUAGCUCUGGCUAUAGGAAAUUGUUAGUGGCAGACGGGUGAGUAAUGCGUAGGAAUCUACCUAGUAGUACGGAAUAGCCAUUAGAAAUGGUGGGUAAUACUGUAUAAUCCCCGAGGGGGAAAGAUUUAUCGCUAUUAGAUGAGCCUACGUUAGAUUAGCUAGUUGGUGAGGUAAUGGCUUACCAAGGCUAUGAUCUAUAGCUGGUCUGAGAGGACGAUCAGCCACACUGGAACUGAGAUACGGUCCAGACUCCUACGGGAGGCAGCAGUGGGGAAUAUUGGACAAUGGGCGAAAGCCUGAUCCAGCUAUGCCGCGUGAGUGAAGAAGGCUCGGGUUNAAACUCUCA